GUCCCCAUGUAACCAUGUAACCCAGGUCCCCAUGUAACCCAUUUCCUCAUGUAACCCAGGACUCCAUGUAACCCAGGUCCCCAUGUAACCCAGGUCCCCAUGUAACCAUGUCACCCAGGUCCCCAUGUAACCCAGGUCUCCAUGUAACCCAGGACUCCAUGUAACCCAGGUCCCCAUGUAACCCCAGUCCCCAUGUAACCCAGGUCCCCAUGUAACCCAGGUCCCCAUGUAACCCAGGACUCCAUGUAACCCAGGUCCCCAUGUAACCCAGGUCCCCAUGUAACCCAGGUCUCCAUGUAACCCCAGUCCCCAUGUAACCCAGGUCCCCAUGUAACCCCAGUCCCCAUGUAACCCAGGACUCCAUGUAACCCAGGUCUCCAUGUAACCCAGGUCUCCAUGUAACCCAGGUCCCCAUGUAACCCAGGACUCCAUGUAACCCAGGUCUCCAUGUAACCAAAAUCCCCAUGUAACCCAGAUCCCCAUGUAACCAUGUAACCCAGUCCCCAUGUAACCCCAGUCCCCAUGUAACCCAGGUGCCCAUGUAAACCAGGUCCCCAUGUAUUUCCUCAUGUAACCCAGGUCCCCCAUGUAACCCAGGUCCCCAUGUAACACCAGUCCCCAUGUAACCCCAGUCCCCAUGUAAACCAGGUCCCCAUGUAUUUCCUCAUGUAACCCAGGUCCCCAUGUAACCCAGGACUCCAUGUAACCCCAGUCACCAUCUAUUUCCCCAUGUAACCCAGGUCCCCAUGUAACCCAGGUCUCCAUGUAACCCCAGUCACCAUAUAUUUCCCCAUGUAACCCAGGUCUCCAUGUAACCCCGGUCCUGAGGAGAAGGGAAUGGCAGGCUGAAUACCACUACCCAAAACACACACACACACAGAGAGAGAGAGAACACCAAGGUCAUCCCUAGCUCACAUUCUCUGCUCUGGUCAACGAUUGUAUUCAGGUUGUCGUGGAGACCCCAGCGCCACGGACACCAAACACUUUGUUUGCAGAGGUCAGAAGAACCCAAAUCACCCCUUUCACAGUUCCCUCUACUAUGGGUCUAACAGGGGAGUGGACAUUCACACAGUCCCCUCUACUAUGGGUCUAACAGGGUAGUGGACAUUCACACUGUCCCCUCUACUAUGGGUCUAACAGGGGAGAGGACAUUCACACAGUCCCUCUACUAUGGGGUCUAACAGGGGAGUGGACAUUCACACAGUCCCCUCUACUAUGGGGUCUAACAGGGGAGUGGACAUUCACACAGUCCCCUCUACUAUGGGUCUAACAGGGGAGUGGACAUUCACACAGUCCCCUCUACUAUGGGUCUAACAGGGUAGUGGACAUUCACACAGUCCCUCUACUAUGAGUCUAACAGGGGAGAGGACAUUCACACAGUCCCCUCUACUAUGGGUCUAACAGGGGAGAGGACAUUCAC
Molecule: long non-coding RNA, 1420 nt
Filed under: Salmo salar (Atlantic salmon)
Lineage: Eukaryota; Metazoa; Chordata; Actinopteri; Salmoniformes; Salmonidae
Description: lncRNA (ENSSSAG00000103081.1)
Source: RNAcentral